This is a ribosomal RNA of Bison bison bison, 120 nucleotides long. The record is from Ensembl. NCBI's taxonomy places the organism in Eukaryota, Metazoa, Chordata, Mammalia, Artiodactyla, Bovidae.
GCCCUGGCCCCUAUCAGCCUGAAGGCGCCCGAUCUCGUCUAAUCUCGGAAGCUAAGCAGGGUCGGGCCUGGUUAGUAUCUUGGAUGGGAGACCACCUGGGAAUCCCGGGUGCUCGAGGAC